GCCGAAGUGGCGGAAUUGGCAGACGCGCGGGAUUCAAAAUCCCGUGGUGGCAACACCGUGAGGGUUCGAGUCCCUCCUUCGGCA
This 84-nucleotide transfer RNA is filed under the name Planctomycetota bacterium. RNAcentral's name for it is "tRNA-Leu". It matches the Rfam family "tRNA". Rfam says of the family: Transfer RNA (tRNA) molecules are approximately 80 nucleotides in length. Their secondary structure includes four short double-helical elements and three loops (D, anti-codon, and T loops). RNAcentral also lists the same sequence under 1 other name. The record is from RNAcentral. Lineage: Bacteria; Pseudomonadati; Planctomycetota.